RNAcentral lists this long non-coding RNA (2054 nucleotides) under Nicotiana tabacum (common tobacco). Its description in RNAcentral is "long non-coding RNA (NTAB_LNC000540)". Lineage: Eukaryota; Viridiplantae; Streptophyta; Magnoliopsida; Solanales; Solanaceae. The record is from RNAcentral.
AGCAGUUGAAGAAAAACCUAAAGAACCAAAAGUUGAGGAGAAACCUAAAGAACCAGCGGCUGAGGAGAAACCCGAAGAACCAGCAGUGAAAGAAACACCUGAAGAACCAGCGGUUAAAGAGACACCUGAGGAACUAGCAGUUGAAGAGAAACCUGAAGAACCAGCAAUUGAAGAGAAACCUGAAGAACCAGUAGCUGACAAAAAACUUGAGCAACCAACAAUUGAGGAGAAACCUGAAGAAUCAAUAGUUGAAAAGACUGAAGAACCAGCAGUUGAUGAAAAAGGUGAAGAACCGUCAGUUGAAGAAAUACCUGAGGAGUCGGCAGUUGAAAAUUUUGAAGAAGCAGCAGUAGAAGAGAAACCUGAAGAACCAGCAGUUAAGGAAAAAACUGAAGAACCACCCAUUGAAGAAAAACCCGAGGACCAAGCAGUUGAAGAGAAACCUAAAGAACUAACAGUUGAAGAGAAACUUGAAGAACCAAUAAUUGAAGAGAAACCUAAAGAACCACCAGUUGGAGAAGAACCCAAAGAACAAAACAGGGAAGAUACUGAAGCUGCCACAGAAAGAAUUGAUGAAUCUGGAACACAUAUAGUAGAGAAAGAAGAAGCUUUGAUAGGAAAACAGACAGAAUUGUUUGUCGAAGAAACAACGAAACUUUGCAAAGAAGUUGAAACUGAGGUAUUAAGUGGCCUUCUAUCAAUGCUUUGAUAUUCUUUCAUGUGCCUAACUAGUCAUAACAAAACCUAUCACUACAAACAGAUAAAAGAACUUAAAGAUGUCAAUGCUGGUGAUGGGACAAAUAAGAAUGUCCUAGGAAAAGAAGAAACAACUCUAGAUGAGCUUCUAACAUCAGCCAAAGAAGAGAUGGCAGCAAAUAACUUUGAAGAAGGCAAAGUGGUUUCAGAAACCCCCAAUCAAGAGGUUAAGUGACCACAUAAGCCUGUUUCCAAUUCAUAUAUCUAACCCCAAGAUAAAACAGAAAUGCUUGCUUUCUCUUUCUUCUAAAUCACUGGAUUGCUCUUUUUAAUUUCUGCAGAACACUCGGCAAGCCAAUCUGACAACAGAAGUGGUUAAAGACACGCGUGGAGCAGAGAACUUCAUUGCACUUUCUUCAGAAGAAAAGAGGGUGGAGGACUCUACUGAAAAGGUAAAUGAACAAAACCUUACAAUAGAUUAGCUGAUUAGCAUCUAGUGAGAAUCUAUGACCACAUAAGCCUGUUUCAAAUUCAUAUAUCUAACCCAACGAAGGUAAAAUAGAAAUGCUUGCUUUCUCUCUUUUUUCUAAAAUCACUGGAUUGCUCUUUUUUAAUUGUGAAGAACUUUCAGCAAGACAAUCUAACCACAGAAGAGGUUAAAGACACAAGUGGAGCAGAGAACUUAAUUGCACUUUCUUCAGAAGAAAAGAGGGUGGAGGACUCUACAGAAAAGGUAAACAUGCAAGAUCUUACAAGGAAUUAGCCGAUAAGCAUCUACUGAGAAUCUACGAGUUUGUUGCAUGCUUAUGAGCCUAGAAGUUCAAUUUUCCUGCUGCAUGAUAUUUUCAGAACAACAACAACGACAACAACUAAGCCACAACUCCAAGUUAGUUAAGGUCACAAAUCCCUAGAGGAAUAUAUAUUAUUCUCAGUUUCUGUUCCCUUCUGCAAAAAGAGGAUUGAGGAGAUGUUGCUGUGAGAGCACUAUAUACGGAAAACUGCAUGAAACAUUUCGUGUAAGCAGGCAGAGUAUGACAUGAAUGACGAUUUGCUACCUGCUACAAGAAAUCGCAAUUCUAAAUUUAAAAAGUUGGAACUAAAUUAUAACAGUAAAAUAAGUUAUAGAAAAACUAGCAAAACAGAACUUGAUGUUUCCCCUUCCGAUACAACCACUAAAGAAGCAUGAAUAGAACUUACGAAUUAUCUCGAGUUGAAUCAAAGCUAGAAGCAGCAUAUGCACUGCAAUCAUGUUUUGUCGCGUCAUGCAAUCCUGCUAGCAGUCUCCAGAAAUCUCUCUAUUUCCUCACCCUUUCAGUUAUUUCUGGAUACCAACCAAAUUAGAAAUUACUCAUUCUACA